RNAcentral lists this ribosomal RNA (226 nucleotides) under uncultured bacterium. RNAcentral's name for it is "partial 16S ribosomal RNA". It matches the Rfam family "Bacterial small subunit ribosomal RNA", at positions 109 to 334 of the family's 1533-position model. The record is from RNAcentral.
CGGAACACGUACAGAACCUUCCUUUAAGCGGGGGAUAGCCCAUAGAAAUGUGGAUUAAUACCCCAUAGUAAUAUUAGUUGGCAUCAAUUGAUAUUUAAAGAUUUAUCACUUAAAGAUGGCUGUGCGGCUGAUUAGGUAGUUGGUGCGGGUAACGGCCCACCAAGCCAGCGAUCAGUAACUGGUGUGAGAGCACGACCAGUCACACGGGCACUGAGACACGGGCCCG